GUGGCUCUAUUCCUAGACUUUGGAGGAGGGAACUCGGUUCAGCAGCCUCAGCUGGGUGCCCUUCUCCCGAGGAAGGUGAGCCUGCCUCCCUGGGGCCAUCCCCUGGAGGGGAGGCCCCAGAGAGGCCCAUCCUUCCUGCCUUGCCGCCGGGGGGCGCUGUGGGGGCACUUGCGGCUCGAGAGCGUCGAAAAUCCUCAGAGCUCCCUGUGAGGUCGCUAUUUCUAUUCCCCUCGUUUUCAGGUGAGUAAAUGGCAGUUUGCGGAGGUUAGGAGAGUUGCUCGAGACUGGUUAGUGACAAAACUGGAUUCACAAACUCCGUUCUCCCCUACUCCCAGCUUGGAUCCUGACCCUUUCCUCUCCUUGCUCACGGCGGCAGCAGAGACGGCAGGAGGUGUGGUGGGUGUGACUGCAUCUGAUGAGCACCGCCCCCCCCCCCCCCGGUGGCACAGGCAGGGUGCCCCAGAAAUGCGGACAAUCAGCGCUCUGGGGGUCAGCUGGGGGUAGCUCUACAAGUGGUCCAGGAAGGUGGCCACCUUUCGGGAGACUAGUGGUGGCCUCUCUGGCAAUGGACUUCUUUUGAGGCUCUUUUGGACAUCUGAACGAUUUUGCAGUGAAAUCUUUUAGACUCCCCGGAGGGCACGUCUGGGUCUGCGCCCCCUCUGCACUGAGCUGAGCCCCCAGCCAGAGCCGGAGCCCUCGCUUCUUUAUUCCAGCCACUGCCCCAGCGAUCCAGCCAAAUCCAGAGUGGCCGACUCCCAGCCUUUCCCUGGGGAAAGGAAUGCUGUUUCUGCUGGGUGAAGGGGACACUGUUGCCACACCAGCAAGAGACCUUGCAACUAAGAACCAUUAACUGAGGGUCAGAGCAAGUAUAGACCACACUGCAUCCAGGCCACAGACACCACCAAUCCUAGGGGCUGCGAAUCUUCGUGGAGAGAGGACAUGUCAAUGAAGCUCAAAGCCAGGGCCCCAGAAUGAAAUGGAGGCAACACCACACCCUAGACUCGUGGUCUGCAACACAAGGCUGACUCGGGGCCACAGAGGUGCCUGAUACUUCCAUGGAGAAGAGGGCGACCUGUCUUUGGUUAACACUCCCUUAAAUGCAAUCUGACAUUGAGUGAAACAACAACAACAACAAACCAAGAAGAAAAACAAAGAAGGAAAGGAAGGAAGGAAGGAAGGAAGGAAGGAAGGAAGGAAGGAAGGAAGGAAGAAAAAAAAAAAACCAACCCAUUUGGACAGAUCAGAGAAUUGACUGGUGUAAGCCCAGGAAAACUGUCAGCAGCAAUCACUGUCUGCUAAUCCCAGCCUGCUGUUAAUCAGCGUCUCCUUGGCACUCUGGGGUAUUUAUUCUAGUAAAGAUUUAAGCCAGUUUGUUUUUAAGACGAGCCACUCUAAUCCCCUCUAUUUAACUUUAUAACUCAAUGUCGGUUACCAAGUUACUCAGGGAGCUGCCUGGAAAAUCUCUCCCCCUCCCACAAACAUGAUUAACCUCUCUUAGCUUAUUUUUCCUGAAGUUUUAAGGGUAGUGGCAGCCGGAGGCGGGGUAGAGACCCUGAGAGGAGGGGGAGGAGGAGGAGGGAGACAGAAAGGGAAAGGGAGGCCAACAGUGGUCUGAAAAGCAAGCCAAAGGCAGAGCCCGAGCUUUCGGUAUCUCUGUUCGUGCAGACCCUGUCAAAAAUCAGGUCAUGGGCUAGAGUUGGGGGCUUCCUUAUUUCUUUUUUAUGGCGUCAUUGAAUGCCCGCCCCCCCCCCCCUUCAAGGGCACAGAGAAAACACAGCAGAUACAAAUAAUCAAAGGGCCAUGCGCUGGGGACUGGGGCAAUAUGCCAAGCUCUGCUUUGAAUGUGAAGUUCAGAGGGAACUUGAGCGAUUGCAUUUCAAAGCAUGGUUAUCAGAAGCUGGCAUGGCCGGUCCACAGAUGGUGGGUGGGGCAGAGGGUCUCCACAGAGACACCCCAGUCCCAGUCCCGAAGGGCAGCCCCCUGCCUGCCCAUUGCCCCCCCCCCCCACCCCCUCAGGGUCCUUCCUGGGAGGUCUCCCUCUCUCCAGCUCCCUCACAGGAAGAUGGUCCCAUGUGACCCCGGACAAACGCUGGCCCAGCAGCGUGUCCUUCUCCGUAUGGACACCGCGCGCGUCCCGUGGCCAGUUCGGGCGACCCAGGGAUGGUGUAGCACCCAUCAGCCGGUCCAGCCGCCCUUCCAGACUCCCCCCCCCCACCCCCCCCCGGCAGGGGGCCACGCGGCUGGGGCCCUGGGAACGGGGUAGAGGGACAGAAGUGGCAGUUUGGGGGAAGAAAGCAUUCGAGCCUACCCCAGAAAGGCACGUGCAGGCCUUGAGCCCCGGAGAAAAACCCUGUCGAGAGACGCGUCGCACCCCAUCCCUCGCCGUCCCCGCCCUGGCACCCGACGCCCGGCCCGGCAGGGACCGGAGGGCACAGGCGGGCACAGGCGGUACUCACGCUGCUGGGGUGGAGCAUGGGCAGAGGCAGCAGCAGCAGCGGCACGAAGAUAACGAGCAGCAGCUUUCUCGCCCGGAGAAGGCCCUGGAGCAGGCCCAUCGUGGACCUCCGUGCGCGGGCGGGCCGCCAGGGGCCUCCGGCGACGGCUCAGUCCGGAAAGGACUCCUCAAAGCCUUCUCGGCUUCCAAGAGUCCUCUCUUGUCUUGGGGGCAGGAAAGGAGGGCAGUUACAGCUCCCGUUGGCACAAAAGGCUGGGCUCCUUGCCUCCUCGUUUAGGUGGGAUUGGUGAGCAUGGUUUUGCGCCCAGCAGAAAGGGAGCGGGAAAGGAUCGUGAGCCGAGGCAUAGCGGGUCCCCCUUCGUGCGGUUACCUCUAGAGUGACUUCUUUCUAGGGCCCUCCAUCAUGUUGCCGCUCUCUGAUGGCCUGUUGGGGCAGUACCGGCCUCUCCUCUACCUGUGCUUGCUGAACCCCCUUUCCUUAACACAGCACCCCCCCCCCAAGUUUGUCAGCGGCAGAUGCAGACUUCAGAUAGGGCUGCUUCUCUUUCUGGCACCUUAACUCCGUUCAAAUUUCUUUCCUUCCAAUUGGUUUCCCACUUAUAAUUUGCCUUGAGCCCGGGGCCUCCAAAGCAGGGGGAAAAAAAAAUCCCCAGGACUGUCCUCGUCGUCCCGGGACAAAAAUCUCGCCGGGGGCCCACCUUAACUUUCCUUCACCUAUGGGAAGCCGGACAGGAGGCAGCAGCCCCGCCCAUUCCUCAAAGCCAAUCGGUACUUUGGAAAGAAUGAGGCGGAUCUCUUCCAAAGGCAGCUCUUGAUUGGUCCCAGCAGGGGCCUGCUGAGUCCGCAGAAGCUAUAGGCAACUUGCAAAGCUUAUUUUUGUUUCUCAAACGUCCUAGGGGCUGCAGUGACGAUCAUCAUCGUCGUAAACACCAUCCCACUUAUGCAGAGCUGUCCCUGGGAGAGCCACUUACUAACCUGGUCCUUAGGAAGAUGUGUGCGGUGGCAGGGAGAAAAUGAAAUAUAAUCAUUCGGGGGGAAGUUGGCCCCCAGACUGUACAAUAUUACGCCUUUCAGAUAUCCCUGGUGACAAAGAUCAUUUGCUUCAUCAUCUGAGUGAGUACGAAUCAUCUGGACCAGCAGAGGGUGUUAGCCUCUAAGAAAGACCGCAGAUCUUUUUAGGGAGAAUGGGAAGGGUAGCAACCUCUCUGGAUAAGUCUAGAUGACGGUCUCAUUUCCAAGGCCCUCGGUGCCCAGAUGUCAGUGGUCUUUCUGGCCGGAGUAGGUGCUCAAAUGCUCCUCUUUGAGGCUCUUUACCAAAAAAACUGAAGCAGAAAGCUACCUGUGGUUGGUAUGCAAGGAGGAAGGAGGUGGGAGGGCAGGGAAGAAGUUGACAAGUUCAGGGUCAGGGCCCUAGCAGCUGUUGCCCUCUGGAAUUUCUGCUGCUUAGAGAUCAGGAGAAGCUGUCAGCCUCUUUUCUCAGAAUGGACACGUGGCUCAGGUCACCCAUGUUUUCCUGAAUUCACAGAAUUCAAGAAUGGCAUUCUAUGGUCAGCACCUGUACCUGUUGGAAAUGAUCCCCAGGCUAAAUGUAAAGUGAUUGGAGAAGUGGCCCCAGAAAACCAGUUCUUCUUGACUUCCAAGGCAGGUGUAAUUGUGGACAGUCCAGGCUCCCUCUGAGGUUAUCUUGCCAUCGUAGGAUGGGCUAUGAUGACCCAUCUCUUUCAAUGCACGUUAGAGACUGGCUACCGUAUAUACUGCAUUUGGGCCUCACUCUUGUGAUGAUUUUGUAACUCAGAAUGACAAUAUCACGUGCGUGAUGUUUGGGUGGCAAAUAUUAAAGAGGCUGGGUAAUAAUUAACCGCAGUGGAGAUCAAUAUCCACUGUUAAACCCAUGGACCGACCACCUCACAUUCCUUGGCGAGAUAAUCUGACAUAACAAAGAUUCCACUGAGCCUAGUAAACUCGAUCAUGACAUUUUUAUUAUACCAUAAAGGAAUAACUGUUAAAUAAAAUUAGGGAAGGUGAGCAACACGGUAAGACCAGUAGUUCUCCUUCAGGGCUCUAUCCAUUUUUCAGAUGAAGAAAACACUUUCCGGGAUACUAUGCUUAAGAAAUAUAAGGCAGGUUUCACUUCUCUGAGGUACCUAAAGUAGUCAAUCUCUUAGAAAGUAGAAAGGCAGUUGCCAGGCACUGAGGGGGAGAGGAGAGAGGCGAGUUACUGUUCCAGAGGGGUCGUCUUUGCAAAAUGAAAGUUCCUAGAGAUCUGUCACACCACCCUGUGCCUAUAGCUAACACUGUGCGGCAUGAUAUGGGCAACUCAGAUGGUAAAUUUCAUGUUACUUUUUUUUUUUUUUAACCGCACAAAAAAUUAGGAGACAUUAAAAUGGGUUAGGAAACUAAGGGGUGCCAUAUAAAGACAUUUAACAAGUGUUUAAUUUUAGACCGGUCCACCGGUGGAAAUACCUUCUGACUGAUUUACCACUGAGGCGAUUCUCUUUUAGAUUCAAGGCGAGAUGAGAGGGCAAUGGAAGUUUCAGCCAUACAGAUGUUUUUCAGCGUCUCUUGAGUGACGCCAGAGGUAGCCACCAGGAUAGCAACGAUAGAAGAAGCUUCCGGAAUUUUUAGAUCCUACAAGUUCCCAGCAGUAUAGAAAUGGCAGAAUUAGUCCCAGAAGUUACAGGCACAUUUCCUCUACAGAAACCAUGCCCCAAAUUAUUCUGUCUAUGCGUAAUUAUGACGAAAGGUGAUCCAGUUGUGAUGUGGUGCUACCGUGUGGGACCAGUGAGGCAAAAUGGGACAGUCUUUUUCUGUCCAGUCUCCUUUUUCACUGUUCGUUGAGCAAAGAGUCAGGUCUUUGGUGGCAUUGGUGAGUGUUGUAUUUGAUCUUCCGCAUAAAUGAAGUUAUUGUGAUAAAGCUUCUUGUGGGAAACAAUUAAUUUGUAUUCAGCUGCAAAUAGUAUUUAAUAGUGUCAUGGAAUUACUGAAAAUGAAAUUUUCAUUUGUCUUUAAAAAAGUCAUGCCCUUCUUGUUUCUUUUUUUUUUUUUUUUUCUUUUUCCCUCGGUCCUUGAUUGCCACAUAAGCAUGUGCCCCAAUUCAUGAGUACAAAAGUGCCUUUAAUUUUUGCUGCAGGGUGAAUGAACUUCCAGGUUAUCACUGGUCCUGGGAACCAUCCUCCCAUUCACGAAUCUCCUACCACUGGGAGUGACCGCGAAUAUCAGAACAUGACAGGGAGGGACUACAAGGGUGGUCUGUCUAACCAGUGACUGAACAAAGGCUCUCAGAUCCAUCCUGAUGGGGGUGGAGGCCCGGGGUGGCAUGCAAGACUGAUGUCAGGGUAUUGCACAAUGUCAAAGGAUUGAGCCCUCUGCUAACCUCCUCUACCCCACAUCCAGAGAAAGUACAAACAGUGAAGGCAGCCAUGAGGCUAAUCGGCCUUUUGGGAACUCCUGGCCCUGUAUGUUGACCUUUGUUUUGGUCAGACAGUGAUACCCACAGGGGGCUGAAAGACAGUGAGCGUCAGAGUGCAAGCAGACAGAGCUAGAGUGAGCAUACGUGCACCAAAAGAGACUGGGAGAAGUGGAUACAAAGAUAAUCAGAAUUGGGCCCAAAGAUAAAGCAGAAGAGACACAAACCAGGUCGAAGAGAACAUGGAAUAUUAGAAAGGGGAAAAUGGAACCAAAAGCGUAUAUCAGAGACUGCAUUUGAGGGCCGUAAAAGGGUGGUGUAAUCAGGGAAUGAGGACCAGAGAAACCAGCAGUCAUUAAUCUUCGGAGCCCGAGAACAUCAGGAUUUUUCCAUGUUGUAUUUUUCUCUGAUGAUGAAUACCUUCGUCCUACAUCCUACUGUUUCUCCAAAAGGAUCAUGCGGCUGCGAAGCAAUGACUUAUUCAAAGUUUUUAAGAAGUCCAGAUCAACUUUAGGCCAUCAUCCAAUGACAAUUGUUAAAUACCCAUUUCAGAAUCAAAUUUUGCCGGAUAAGAUGUCACUCAUUCAAAGAUUAGACCUCUUGCAACGUAAGCCUCCAAAACCCAGCUGUCAAGCCAGGAGAGCCAGCGAGGAAUCCGUAUUAGAGCCUAGUGCCUCCCUCUAGCAGAGACCUUCGCCUACUAGCUCCGAUUUAACACGGAAUUAUGACAAGCCUCCCUGCUUUGUCCCUUAGGUGGUAGCAGCCAAAAUAGAACAAAUUGCAACGGGCAAGUUGUGUUGGAAAGAAAGAGGAGCGCCCUCUUACAGCCUCACGGUGCAGAAGGCAGGACACACACCCGACAGAAUCAGCAAAGCCCCGGGGCCUUCUGGGCUUGGCGCAAACAGUCCAGCAGACCCCUUAGGUCCUGGUGUCCUCCCUGUGAUUAUCCCACGGCUGGUUCAGUGAUCGUGGAACUUUCGGAAGUCGAGCAAUCUUAGAGGUUAUUUUAUCCAAUUCCUUCAUCAGAACGUUUCAAAGAUCCUAAAUAGAAGCUCAAGAUGUCACGUACAUACAGUUAACAAAGACAGCAAGUCAGCAUUGCUAAAAUGAAGGUUGUGGCAUUUGAAAGGGUAAGUUCUGUUGUCUAAAAAAUCAUUUGUAUUUGGAGCUCUCAGUUUUGGAGCUCUUCCUAGGAUGAUCCUCUCUGCAUCAGCGUGCUUUCUCUGUUCAGAAGACGAGGUCAGACAGUUUGCAGCCUCUCUGUGGGCCCCCGUCAUGUUUCUCCUCUGUAUUAGAUCCGCUUUCGGAGAAGAAGAGACAAGACAGAGAGGCCAUAACAUUACUGAUUUUCUGGCUGAUGCUUCUUGGUGACUUUUGGAAAAGUUGACACGUGGAUCUUUGGCUAACAAAGUGUUUAUUUGCUAUAGCUCCAGCUUUUCGUUUUAAGUAUCUUAACUAUGUGGAACCUUUGGAAUGAUGUUCAUUCGGCCUCACGCCCUGAUCUCUGUCCCCCCAUCUUCCCGCAAUGCCCAAACCUCUGUGCCGUCUCCUCUAGCUCUGUCUUCGCCCUCGGGUGUUUAUGGCGGUCACUCGGUGAUGCAGCGCGUCACCAGGCAAAUCAGGUGGCCUUUGGAGGCAUCUUGAAUGACCACGCUAGCCCUUUCUUGCAGCCCCGGUCACACCGUGACACGAAUUAGAUGUGCUUGUCAGGGAACUACGAGGGGCAGAGGACAUGGGGUUACUUAUUUUAUCUCUGCUACUCUGAGUUGGUGGCAUGUGCUUUGUUGCAGGGCUCUGUAAAUGGAGUAGAGAAUGAAGAGUGUUUGGAUUACCGCGUGUGCUGGUCCCUGCUCCGUGGCCGUGGGCCGGGCUCUCAGGGAGACACUCUGGGGCCCGAGGACCGCAUCAAGUCAUGCCUCAGGGCCUGGAAGAGGCUAAGGAGGGAUUGGGCCCAGAUGUCCUUCUGAUGCCCUUGGGACAGGGCGGUGCGGUAGGCCGUGUAGGCCAGGGUCAGCGCUGUCCUUUCAAAGUCCUCUUUCUUGAGGAUGCCAGGGUGGCUGGAGAGGCUGGCGCUCAGCCGGCGGAUGUCCGGGAUGCGCUUGGGGAUCACGUGAUUGCAGAUGGUGCGGAAGUCGGAGGCUUUCCUCAACGAGGACAGCUCCUCGUCCUUGAUGGAGAUCUUCAGGUCGGGGCUGAUGUCAAGUUCAGCUAGCAGGAACUGGAGAGAGACACGGGGCGUGGAAAGACAUGAGGCAUUCAGGCUUCACCAAGGACACCAGUGUAUUCGUUACCACGUGUGUUCAUUGAGGGAGACAGACGAGGAAAGAGCUUUGGAAUCCAAGAGACCUGGGUUCCAGUUCCGACCUUCCCACUAGCUGUGUAACCCUGGACGAGCUACUUAACUUCUCUGAGCCUCAUUUUCCUCCUGGGUGAAAUGAACAGAUCUGUUCACGUGACUCCCAAGUUCCAGACGUGGCCAGGUUUGUUCCCCGUGGCAGGAUCUGAAAUCUCUCCCUCCUCCCCCCAGCUCAACUGCUUGGCUGCAGCAGGCCAUCUCUUUCUUAACCCGAAAGUUCUGAGCAGUUCUACUUCCUCCAGGGAGCUCUGCAGGACGGGAUUCAGGGGCACGGAUGAGGAUCUCUUUGGCCGAUGCGCGGCAGGGAAGAGCAUGGCUGCAAGAGACAGGAGUUAGUUCGAGAGGCUGCUUGUGCACAUGGCCUUCUCCCCACCCCCGCUGACCUGGAGGUGGGCCGGCCCGUCUUGAGAGUGACUGACUCCACGUGGUGGUGGACGUGAAGCAGGAAAAAGGGACAGACGACUCUGGUGCGCCCCAGAGGGCUCCCAGGCAUGUCCCAUGUAACUGUUUCAGACCAGUGAUUUCAAACCCGCUGCUCAUCAGAAUCAUCCCGGAAAGUUAUGAAAAACUAGAUGUCUAGGGAUAUGGAUACCUUAGGGAAUUUAUGUAAAGCAAAAUAAAACAGAAAUGAGUGGACAGCCCUCCCUGCUGCCCCCCGCCCCGCCCCCUGUUCACCAAAUGAGUUCUCUAAUAACACCGUUCCCUUUGUUAAUACGAAAUGCUGGUUUAUAUUUAUUGACAACCCUCUUAAUCAGAGGAUCAGACUUCUGGCUGUUCCCCAGCCAUCUGAAAGCGAGCUGCCAAGACGCUGGACACAGGUGACAAAGGAAAGGCAGAGAGCCGCCACAAGCCCCUGACACUUGGCCCUAGGGGUGUGUGAAGCAGAGCUCAGGGCUUCCCCUGGGGGCGGGCUGAGAGGGGCACGUGGCGUGCAGUCAUUGGUUCGCCAAUGUUUUUGGAGAUACCGCAUUUGGAGGUGGUACCUGGAGGAAGACGGAUGAGCUGAGGGGUGGAGGGGGUGGCAGAAUUAGGAACUGACAGAGGGCAGGUGAAGAAGACAGACUAAGGUAGGGUAUGGGUGUAAGCGUUAGGAAUCCCAGUUCUCCAGGAUGGUCUUGGGUAAGAGCAGACAGCCCCGUUCACCCCGCAGCCCCACCUUGGACCAGGGCGCCGCGCAGAAAUGAUUGGUAACCCUGCUGCCUGCCAAUAAAAGAAGGGACCCUCUUCUUCAAGACACUUGCUUGUGCCCUGCCAGAAAACUGGGGAACCAACUGUAAACAUCCAAGCCGUGUCCAGCCCACUCUUCCAGGAUGCGAAUGUGCCCACGAGGACCACUCCGCGCCGCCGGGGGACGUCGGAGACUUCCACGUCUCCUCACGCAAAGGUCUCCUGUAUGGCUGGUCGCAGGGCAGGAAGACCAUGGGCUUCUCCCCAGUUCCCUGACUCCCUGGACAAACAAGCCUUCGGGGGGAAAUUGAGGCUCUGUGAUACAUUGGACAGACCAGCACAGAGCAAAUGACUCACUUGCUAAAGGUUAUGCCCGUGCACCAAGAAGCCCGGGAACAGAGUCCAGAGACUCGAGCGUCAUGUGUCAGGGCCUGUUCUGUCCACGUCUUCUGCCGAGGGACACAUCUGGGCUGCGGACCAAAGUUGUUAAAAUGUGGAGCUCAGAUACCCUAACUGUGCACAAGCCCACUGUGUGCUCAUCGGCGUGCUUUGGGCUUUCCACACGUACCUUGUGAGACUGGUUAGCUCCCCUCAACCCCCCAAGUGGAGCUCUGGCAGGCCCUGGGGGCGCAGGGAGUUGGGCCAGGCGUGUCUGGCUUCUAGGCUGGCCUCCCGAACCACAGAUUUCUAAUUGCAUUUGAGAAAGAAUAAUGAGCAUCAAAUAAAUACAGAGCAACUUACCCCUGCUCCACCUGUGGGACACCGCCGCCUGAGCAUCAUAACACAACAGCAGAAGCAGCAGCGUGUUCCAACACAUCUUUUGCUCCAAAAAGGUGACACUUGUCCUCGAACCCAAUGGGACCUCAGGAGCUACAGGUAUUCAGCAUGACCUCAGGCAAGCGAGUCUGAAGCAGCCAGACAUGAAGCAUUCCCGGUGAGGUUUAUCUCUGACACUGUUCCGUGCCGAACACAGAGCUACAUCAUUCUACGUGCUUCUGGUGGGGACCCCCAUAAAUCCUCAUCUGCAGCAAAGGAAUUCUGUCGCACUUCAGCAGCAAGUUCGGAGUAGCCGGGAUGGGCUGGCUUCGUGCUUGAGCAUGCCGUCCGGGAUAUGGACACUCUCCACGGUCCUGCAGCAGAAGAGGGCAAGGGAAGACUAACGCCCCAGAAGAGGUACAGCGUGUGCCUUGAAGGUCAGAAAGCUCAGACCCGCUGGAGGAACACACGUAAUUUUCCAUCGAGAAUGGCUUGUGCUCUCCUCCUCCCCCCCAGAAGCCCUAUCAGUCCCAGAGAGUUCCCUCUGCUCAGGCCUGGCCAGCUGACGGAAUAGUUCUAACUCAGAUCACAGCAGAAUUUGGAGUGUGAUAAAGCCAGUUGCAAAACUCCCUCCUCGGAUGGAUAGACCAUCACAUAAAUGAAGAUUAGGGCUUCUAGGGCCAGCGCCUGUACCUGGACUCGAGCCAGCUCUCCUAGAAAUGUGUUCUCUAGAAUGCGUUCUAAAGAACGUGUAGUGUUUCCCCUCCGUGUGACAAAAGCCGUCUGAUCGAGUGACGGUAAGAGCUUUGGGAUCAGGAGGCCAGAGUUGAAUGGUGCUGUACUUCAGGACUUAGGCUCUCAGAGAUUGUUUUCUCCUCUGUGAGGAAGGAAUAAAAAUCCUGGAUUGCCUCUGUCAUAGGGAGGCCAUGGGUGUGAAAGCAUGUUUCCAAAGCUGAGCUUUGGAAGUACAAUUCCCUGACUGUGAUCACAGUUGUGGGUGGAGAGUGUUGAUUUCAUAAUCAAGGGGCAGCCCAUUCGGUUGAUUCUGCCCCUACUGUCCCGGCCUUAGACAGUGAGUGAUCCCUAAAGCAGUGCCUCGAACACCGCAGCUGCUAAUCAAAGUCAAGGCGACAUGAAUUAACCUCAAUAAACCAAUGGCAAAUGCUCCUCAUCUCUACUUUAGCUCACCCCAGGACUUAGGACGCUGGGGUCCAGCCGGGCUGUUCAAAGGGAUUGUCCGUUACGGGACAUCACACAUCGCUGAAGGUGCCCACGAGCAGAGGCUGUAAGGCGGAGUCCCGCUAUAUAAGCCCCUCCGCAUGAAAGGACAUGAGAACCCGCUUCCCUGGAAACCCUUCUCGGCUACUAGAAAGUCUCUCUUCAUUUUCUGACAAAAAAAAAAAAAAAAAAAAAAGCUAGUAUAAAAAAUCAUUGGUUAUCUCCAAAAUGAUCAAAUAAAGGCAGUUUUCCUGGUAAAACCUGUGGAUUCUGGUAUCCUGUGCGUUGACGUGGGGGACACAAAUGGACAGAAAGAACAAUGGCUGAUAUUUACUGAGUCGCUACUAUGUUCCAGACACUGCCUGAAACGUUUACACAUAUUACUGCGUUUAAUUCUUACAACAACGCGCUGGGUUGAGUACUCUUACUACACCCACUUUACAGGUGGGGAAACAGGUUCAGGGAGAUCAAGGAAUGUGCCCGUACAGCCGGGAAGUAGCAGGGCUGGGCCUUAGACCCAGAACUGUCUGAUUCCAAAGCUCAUGCUCUUAACCACGGUGCAAUUAUUUGACUCUUUGCCUUGUUCUUCUCCUCAAUUUGUAACUUGCAAUGGAUCCAAGUGAAAAUGUAUCCCUUGUGCCCUCCUGCCUUCUUUCUUCUAUUGGGCAGCCCUGGGUUAAAUUCCGUAGUCAGGCUCUGCCACACUGGAGGAGACCAGGGUUUGGUGUUGAGCUCCGUCUGGCCCAGGCAGGCUUUGAAGCUGUACUCAGGCUGGCUCC
Felis catus (domestic cat) is the source of this 12137-nucleotide long non-coding RNA. RefSeq lists it as uncharacterized. Lineage: Eukaryota; Metazoa; Chordata; Mammalia; Carnivora; Felidae. The transcript has 11 exons. The record is from RefSeq and is a predicted model, not a curated record.